AACAGGGAUUGCCCUAGUAACGGCGAGUGAAGCGGCAACAGCUCAAAUUUGAAAUCUGGCUCUUUCAGAGUCCGAGUUGUAAUUUGCAGAGGGCGCUUUGGCUUUGGCAGCGGUCCAAGUUCCUUGGAACAGGACGUCACAGAGGGUGAGAAUCCCGUACGUGGUCGCUAGCUAUUGCCGUGUAAAGCCCCUUCGACGAGUCGAGUUGUUUGGGAAUGCAGCUCUAAAUGGGAGGUAAAUUUCUUCUAAAGCUAAAUAUUGGCCAGAGACCGAUAGCGCACAAGUAGAGUGAUCGAAAGAUGAAAAGCACUUUGGAAAGAGAGUCAAACAGCACGUGAAAUUGUUGAAAGGGAAGCGCUUGCAGCCAGACUUGCUUGCAGUUGCUCAUCCGGGCUUUUGCCCGGUGCACUCUUCUGCAGGCAGGCCAGCAUCAGUUUGGGCGGUGGGAUAAAGGUCUCUGACACGUUCCUUCCUUCGGGUUGGCCAUAUAGGGGAGACGUCAUACCACCAGCCUGGACUGAGGUCCGCGCAUCUGCUAGGAUGCUGGCGUAAUGGCUGUAAGCGGCCCGUCUUGAAACACGGACCAAGGAGUCUAACAUCUAUGCGAGUGUUUGGGUGUCAAGCCCGAGCGCGUAAUGAAAGUGAACGGAGGUGGGAACCCGCAAGGGCGCACCAUCGACCGAUCCUGAAGUUUACGGAAGGAUUUGAGUAAGAGCAUGGCUGUUGGGACCCGAAAGAUGGUGAACUAUGCUUGAAUAGGGUGAAGCCAGAGGAAACUCUGGUGGAGGCUCGCAGCGGUUCUGACGUGCAAAUCGAUCGUCAAAUUUGGGCAUAGGGCGAAAGACUAAUCGA
Molecule: ribosomal RNA, 852 nt
Filed under: Curvularia hominis
Lineage: Eukaryota; Fungi; Ascomycota; Dothideomycetes; Pleosporales; Pleosporaceae
Description: eukaryotic LSU rRNA
Rfam family: Eukaryotic large subunit ribosomal RNA
Source: RNAcentral